Molecule: ribosomal RNA, 1324 nt
Filed under: human gut metagenome
Description: bacterial LSU rRNA
Rfam family: Bacterial large subunit ribosomal RNA
Source: RNAcentral
GCAAUGCUUCGGUUGCGCGGAUAAUGCAGGUAAGCUGACUGCCAAGAAAACCUGCUAAGCUUCAGGUAAUGAUCAUCCGUACUGUAAACGGACACACGUGAUCAGGUAGAAAAUACUAAGGCGCUCGAGAGAUUCAUGGUUAAGGAACUAGGCAAAAUGGUCCUGUAACUUCGGGAUAAAGGACGCUCUUGUGAAAGAGCCGCAGAUAAUAGGCCCAGGCGACUGUUUACCAAAAACACAUGGCUAUGCUAAUUCGCAAGAAGAUGUAUAUGGCCUGACACCUGCCCGGUGCCGGAAGGUUAAGAGGAGAGCUCAGAGGUAACUCGAAGGUUUGAAUUGAAGCCCCGGUAAACGGCGGCCGUAACAAUAACGGUCCUAAGGUAGCGAAAUUCCUUGUCGGGUAAGUUCCGACCUGCACGAAUGGUGUAACGAUCUGGGUACUGUCUCAACCAUGAGCUCGGUGAAAUUGUAGUUCCGGUGAAGAUGCCGGAUACCCGCAACGGGACGGAAAGACCCCGUGAACCUUUACUGCAGCUUUGCAUUGAUUUUGGGUAACAGAUGUGUAGGAUAGGUCGGAGGCUUUGAUGCUGCGUCGUCAGGCGUAGAGUAGCCGUCGUUGAAAUACGACCCUUUUGUUAUCUGAGGUCUAAUCCCGUUAGGGAGACAUUGCAUGGUGGGUAGUUUGACUGGGGUGGUCGCCUCCAAAAGUGUAACGGAGGCUUCUCAAGGUACCCUCAAGGCGUUUGGUAAUCGUCUGCAGAGUGCAAUGGCAUAAGGGUGCUUGACUGUGAGACCGACACGUCGAUCAGGUUGGAAACAAGAGCAUAGUGAUCCGGUGGUUCCGCAUGGAAGGGCCAUCGCUCAAAGGAUAAAAGGUACUCCGGGGAUAACAGGCUGAUCGCUCCCAAGAGCUCAUAUCGACGGAGCGGUUUGGCACCUCGAUGUCGGCUCGUCACAUCCUGGGGCUGGAGAAGGUCCCAAGGGUUCGGCUGUUCGCCGAUUAAAGUGGCACGCGAGCUGGGUUCAGAACGUCGUGAGACAGUUCGGUCCCUAUCUGUUGUGGGCGCAGGAUAUUUGAGGAGCUCUGACUCUAGUACGAGAGGACCGGGUUGGACAUACCUCUGGUGAAUCAGUUGUGUCGCCAGAUGCACUGCUGAGUAGCUAUGUAUGGAUUGGAUAAGCGCUGAAAGCAUCUAAGCGCGAAGCCAGCUUCAAGAUGAGAUAUCCUUACAGGGUCGUUCGAGAUGAGAACGUUGAUAGGUUGCAGGUGUAUAGUCGGUGACGGCACAGCCGAGCAAUACUAAUUACCAGAUCGGAAGAGCGU